This 253-nucleotide ribosomal RNA is filed under the name uncultured bacterium. Its description in RNAcentral is "partial 16S ribosomal RNA". It matches the Rfam family "Bacterial small subunit ribosomal RNA", at positions 524 to 776 of the family's 1533-position model. The record is from RNAcentral.
UACGGAGGGUGCAAGCGUUAUCCGGAUUUACUGGGUUUAAAGGGUGUGUAGGCGGACUAUUAAGUCAGCGGUGAAAUCUCCGGGCUCAACCCGGAAACUGCCAUUGAUACUAUUAGUCUUGAAUAUUGUUGAGGUGGGCGGAACGGGUCAUGUAGCGGUGAAAUGCAUAGAUAUGACCCGGAACACCGAUUGCGAAGGCAGCCCACUAAGCAAUGAUUGACGCUGAGGCACGAAAGCGUGGGGAUCAAACAGG